GGAAAGGCGCGCGAUACAGGGUGACAGCCCCGUACACAAAAAUGCACAUGCUGUGAGCUCGAUGAGUAGGGCGGGACACGUGGUAUCCUGUCUGAAUAUGGGGGGACCAUCCUCCAAGGCUAAAUACUCCUGACUGACCGAUAGUGAACCAGUACCGUGAGGGAAAGGCGAAAAGAACCCCGGCGAGGGGAGUGAAAAAGAACCUGAAACCGUGUACGUACAAGCAGUGGGAGCACGCUUAGGCGUGUGACUGCGUACCUUUUGUAUAAUGGGUCAGCGACUUAUAUUCUGUAGCAAGGUUAACCGAAUAGGGGAGCCGAAGGGAAACCGAGUCUUAACUGGGCGUUAAGUUGCAGGGUAUAGACCCGAAACCCGGUGAUCUAGCCAUGGGCAGGUUGAAGGUUGGGUAACACUAACUGGAGGACCGAACCGACUAAUGUUGAAAAAUUAGCGGAUGACUUGUGGCUGGGGGUGAAAGGCCAAUCAAACCGGGAGAUAGCUGGUUCUCCCCGAAAGCUAUUUAGGUAGCGCCUCGUGAAUUCAUCUCCGGGGGUAGAGCACUGUUUCGGCAAGGGGGUCAUCCCGACUUACCAACCCGAUGCAAACUGCGAAUACCGGAGAAUGUUAUCACGGGAGACACACGGCGGGUGCUAACGUCCGUCGUGAAGAGGGAAACAACCCAGACCGCCAGCUAAGGUCCCAAAGUCAUGGUUAAGUGGGAAACGAUGUGGGAAGGCCCAGACAGCCAGGAUGUUGGCUUAGAAGCAGCCAUCAUUUAAAGAAAGCGUAAUAGCUCACUGGUCGAGUCGGCCUGCGCGGAAGAUGUAACGGGGCUAAACCAUGCACCGAAGCUGCGGCAGCGACGCUUAUGCGUUGUUGGGUAGGGGAGCGUUCUGUAAGCCUGUGAAGGUGUGCUGUGAGGCAUGCUGGAGGUAUCAGAAGUGCGAAUGCUGACAUAAGUAACGAUAAAGCGGGUGAAAAGCCCGCUCGCCGGAAGACCAAGGGUUCCUGUCCAACGUUAAUCGGGGCAGGGUGAGUCGACCCCUAAGGCGAGGCCGAAAGGCGUAGUCGAUGGGAAACAGGUUAAUAUUCCUG
RNAcentral lists this ribosomal RNA (1095 nucleotides) under Escherichia coli. Its description in RNAcentral is "partial 23S ribosomal RNA". It matches the Rfam family "Bacterial large subunit ribosomal RNA", at positions 344 to 1441 of the family's 2925-position model. Lineage: Bacteria; Pseudomonadati; Pseudomonadota; Gammaproteobacteria; Enterobacterales; Enterobacteriaceae. The record is from RNAcentral.